UACCAUUGGUGAAAAUAUUCCAACCCAGCCAAAACAGGCGGUGAAAAAAUGUACAGCAAAGUCAUGGCGGUUAAUUUAAACUGAAUUUCAUCCCAUAAAUAACGAUUCUCAAAGAAGCUAAACGCAUUUGUUGCUCAGAUUCAAUCUCGAGAAUCUUCGCAACAAAUGCAAAUCUUUGAAAUAUGAUCAAACAGAAGCCUUCGCAUUACUGGCCUGAUUCUAUUGACCUCUGUUUGUUUCAAAUCGGCGAAAUUCCACCAUAGAUUUGAAAGCUUUUUGUUUUCUAAUGAUGUAGAAAACUAAUAAUUAGUUUGCUCCACAAAUUCCAUUCAGAAACCACACCGAUUCCAAUUACAGUGCGCCUCAAAGUAAAUUAUUAUUAUUUCUUCUGUUUUGUCCAUAUAAUUAUUGUCCGAAAAGCGCACCGAGGAAAAAAUCUUGAAAGACUCAAGAAAGGAAUGCUUGUGAAAUAAAAUUAGAAGAUUCAUUGUAUAUUUGAAGAUUUUUGAGGAAACGAUGGCGACAUUUAAGGGUUGAGCCGUCGAGAAAGACAAAUGGCAAUUGUUUGAUUGAAGAUUGGAGCUGCUUUGGCCGUUGGAUGCAUUUUGAAGGUUUGCUUUACAUUUUGCUUCGAAUUCAAUGCGCAGAGAAGCGAGUGGAUCUUUACAUAUUUAAAUUGUCUUUUUAGAUGCCGGCGAGAUCUCGUUUCCUGGACAGAAUGAGCAAUUCUGACGAUGAUUCGUGUUUUGAGGGGCCGAAAGUAUGCAGAACAGGGGAAGCAGAGUCAAAUAAGGGCUCAUUUAUUGCUGCCUACGUUAGUGUUGAGUCUGUAUUGGUACUCUUUUGGCUGACUGCCUCGUUAGUUGUGCUUCCUUUGAUAUUGCCUCCUCUGCCUCCUCCUCCUCUUAUACUUUUGCUAGUUCCAAUUGCCAUACUUGUUGUGCUCCUGGUGUUGGCCCUGAUGCCUUGCAAUGCUAACAAUUCUGUAGCAUCUGCGGUUUGAUAAGCCAUGCAGGAGGUACAUGUUCGAAUCCGGAGAGUAGUAGGCUGUGUAUACCUUUGUGUGUAUGUAAAGUCAAGUGUGCAGAAUGGUCUCAGAUCCAGAUGUUAAUGUUGUCCUGUAAUCUAAGCAAAGUUGGGCGCGAACCGAGCUCAACUUUUCUACCAUUAAAUGAAAAUGUUAAGAUUCAGGUUGCAA
Long non-coding RNA from Cryptomeria japonica (Japanese cedar), 1198 nucleotides. RefSeq lists it as uncharacterized. The record is from RefSeq and is a predicted model, not a curated record. The transcript is spliced from 2 exons. NCBI's taxonomy places the organism in Eukaryota, Viridiplantae, Streptophyta, Pinopsida, Cupressales, Cupressaceae.